Molecule: non-coding RNA, 4565 nt
Organism: Punica granatum (pomegranate)
Lineage: Eukaryota; Viridiplantae; Streptophyta; Magnoliopsida; Myrtales; Lythraceae
Source: RefSeq, a predicted model, not a curated record
UUGGGCGCUCAAAAUAUUUCAUAACACACUCUCACUGAAGUAAGCCAACAGUAAAGUAAUGGAGUCGCCGAGGCAUUCGUGCUUGAAGCUGGAGCUCCCAAAUCCUACCGAGCCCGACAAGAUCGAGCCGAUUUUCAUCAAGGCCACAUGGUACGACACCCACUUCGACCUCUCCAUCACGAACGACCCCGACUCUUGGGUCUGCAAAGGUCAAAUUUCAUCCUACUCGCCUGUUCGAUUGAAUCUCCUCAUGAAUCUUGAAAAUUUUUGUCUCCAAGUUUCAACCCUUCGCGGUUUCGCGUCUGGGUUUUACAGCGUCGGAGGAAGAAGUGAGGGAACGAGCGGCUCAGUGGGACCAGCCAGUGGCAGAUUACAUUGAAUUUGCAGAGAAGAUUGUCAUGGACCUUUGAGAAGGUAGGGACAAAGCUGGAAUGGCAAUGCAAAUGCCAACCUUCACCCAAUCCUCAACUGACCAAAUCAGGAAUCUUGGACUUUCUUGUGGAUGCAAACAUAAGGCUCAGUGUAAGCCUCCUAAGAUUAUAAUUGGUUAAUCAUUAUUAGUAUGAUCUUUUAUAUGGCUGCUUGGAGAAGGAAUAAAUCGUUAGUUUCACCUAAACUAUCUCCUCUGGUUUGAAGUAUCAUUUGAUUCACUGGGAUCAAAGAUAAAAUGACUAAAAGGUAAAACUAUUGAUUACCUUAACUGGUUCACACUACAAUGAAACUCUUGAGUUCUUAUUUGAUUGUCAUCUGUUAACGGUAAGAAGUUGUCAGAAAAACUAAAUCGUCUGAGAGGUUGAAAGGGGAAGCUGAGAAAUGCCUGGCAACAGAGUGAAAAUUUCAGCAAUGAGAAGACAGAGUUUGAGUCUGCAAUCUAUGCAAAGGUCUUCUCUUUUUUCCGCUUUUAACGUAGGAAUAAGUAAUUUAUCCAAGCAAAGGUGCGUUUUGUUUUUGUGAUAGAUAUAGUUUCUGAUAAUUACGCACCUCUUAGAGGUAAGUUAGAGCCUCCAGAGUAAUCUUUAUCUUUUAGUAUUAAAACUAUGUGCUUGUUGCAGUUUUUCACUCUAAUAACCACGUAAUGAUUCAGCAUGAAAGUUAGUUAUAUGUGAAAGGACAAGUGGUUUCCAUAAUUCUGCAACUUGUUUAAGAGUAACUGUCUACAGAAUUACGUUUAGCGUAUGACUAUAACUCAUGUUGUCUACUCUGCUAUUUAUAUAUUGAGUUUAACUUGUCUUUUGUGGAGUGUUUGAUGUAUGCAUAGGGUGAAAAAAUGAAAUCAGCAAAGAUGUAUACUUGGUUUGGUUGGUAACCUUUUCUUUUCUUUCUUCUUUAUUUUUUUUUUAUUUUUUUAUUUUUUGGUCUCUUGGUGCUCAAUUAGUAUACUCGGUCUUGUGCAGCCCCUGCAGUUUUGCCUUUUCCUUAUCUAGAAUAAUGAAGUUUUAUCAUUUAUGAACAAGAUGGAUUGAUUACGUCUUCUCUGAGUAAAGUAGAACAGGGAAAAGGAAGAAAGAAAAAGAAGAAGAAACUAAGAUAAGAGAAAGGGCUUGAAAAUUCUGUUUGUUUGGUUAACCAAGCCAAAUCAAAUUGAUAAUGUUGGGUUUUCUUGUCCAAUCUGGUCCGGUUUAUGUUAUAAUUCACUGAUAAUGCACAACCGAACAAACUUUUUUGUUUGCCACUUGAAUAUAAUGAGCAACCUUUAGGAUUGCAUCUCAAUCAUGACCCUGACUGUGGGCUUGUUCUUAGAUGUAGUUCCUUAGUGUCUUAAAUUCAAAGAAAGGGAAACUCAGGGAGCAACUUGUCAAGUCAGCUGGUAAUGGUGGGAAAUCACCAGAAGAAGACGAGGAAUCCACAGAAAAGACAGACCCUUUUGAUGAGAGAAGUGACACUGAGGUAGGGACCAUAAAGAGCGGUACCGGGAUGUCAAAAGAUGUCCAGAAAGAUAUCUCUCUGAAACAUUGCCUGGCAUCCAUUACCAAUAGCAAUGAAAUUUUUGGAUUAUGGAGGAACUGAUGAUAUGAUCGUCCCGAGAUCGCAAAAUUUUACUACUAAGGUCUAAGGAUAUCAGCCACCACCCAAGGGAAAGAUGGGUGUUGGAGCUACACCAGUUGAAGUGCAUCAGAGCUGUUGCUAGUCUUGCUGUGUCGUUUUGUUUUUUUAUCAGUCAUGUAGUUAUCUGUUUUCUUAGGUUGCUGUUUUUAAGGAAUCAGUUAGCAUAUUUUUAGGAGUUUGUUUUUUGCACGUUAAGUGCAGUUCUGGUCCUGUUCUGUUCAGGUUUUCUACUGGUGUCUAUUGGUAUUGGUAACUGAAGUUUUUCCAAUUCAUAAAGAAGUAGACAGUUUCUCUUAUCUCUAAAAAAAUCUACAUUCUCUCAUUCUCUUUAAAUUGAGUUCUACUGGUCUACUGUGAGGAUGGAAUUAAGAGACUUAAAUGUGGUAUCAGAGCACCAUUGAUCUUAAGGGACCUGUGGGGGUGAGAGACUUGUGAGGUUGACCGAGUGUUUUGACUGCAUCCAUAGAAGAUCAAGGCAAGAUGGAGGCAUGUUCGAGUGGAUUCUCUGCCAUGGCACCACCUGUGUUCGAUGGGGAGAGUUAUCAAGCAUGGGCUGUGAAGAUGACAACUUUUAUGGAAGGUUGUGAUUUGUGGGAAGCAGUGGAAGAAGACUACGAGGUGGCUCCCCUUCCUAACAAUCCAACCAUGGCUCAGAUCAAGCUGCACAAGGAGAAGAAGACCAGGAAGGCAAAGGCAAAAUCUUGUCUUUAUGCUGCUGUGUCACCCACCAUCUUCACCAGAAUCAUGAGGCUUGACUCAACAAAAGCUAUGUGGGAUUACUCGAAGGAAGAAUAUGAAGGAGAUGAGAAGAUUCGAGGUAUGAAAGUGUUAAAUUUGUUGAAGAAUUUGAAAGACUUCAGAUGGAAGAGAGAGAGACUGUGAAGGAGUAUGUUGAUAGGCUUGUAGAGAUUGCUAACAAGAUUAGAGUGUUAGGAACUGAUAUCAAGGAUGAUAGGCUGGUGCAAAAGAUUAUGGUUUUGUACCAAAAAGGUUCAAGGCAACUAUUGCUUCACUGGAGAACAAUAAGAAACUUUCAGACAUCAAACUUGCUGAAGUACUUAGUGCUUUGCAAGCUCAAGAGUAGAGAAGUACUAUGAGAACAAAAGGGAUUGCUGAACAAGGAAUGGUUGAAAGAGCUUUGCAAGCCAAAAUGCAGCAAAGUUCUAGUGGAAAAGGAAAGAAGUUGAAAGAAUAUGGUAGUGCUUAUGAGAUUGUUGCAAUAGAAAGAUCGAACAAUAACAAAAGGGGAAAUCAUCCUCCUUCUCAGCAUUGUGGAAAGAGAAAUCAUCCAAACUAUAAGUGUUGGAGGAAGUUUGACAUGAGAUGCAGGAAGUGUCAAAAGUUGGGGCAUGCUGAGAUCGUCUGCAAGGAGGAGACUCCGUAGCAAGGUGAAGCACAAACUGCAGUUGAAGAAGAGGUAGAACAACUCUUUGUUGCUUCUUGUUUUAGCUCACGUGUUUCAGAUGGUUGUUGGCUUGUUGAUAGUGGGUAUACUAACCACAUGACAAGUGAUGAGAAGCUCUUUAGGGAGCUUGAUAGAUCAGUAACAGCAAGAGUAAGAAUUGGGAAUAGAGAGUACUUGACAGUGAAGGAUAAAAGAACUGUCCAAAUAGAGAGUUGUGUUGAUACAAAACUGAUAUAUGAGGUUUUGUAUGUUCCUAAAAUUGCCCAAAGUUUGUUGAGUGUUGGUCAGCUUGUAGAGAAAGGAUACAAGGUGAUGUUUGAGGAGAAGAAGUGUUUGAUUUCGAUUCAAUCAGUCAUAAGUUACUUGAAAUUCCAAUGAAGAAUAAGUUUUUUUUCUUUGGAUCCAUUGAAGAUGAAGUCUAAUGUGGAUGAUGAUCAAUCUGUUAAAGGGAGAAGGUCAAAUGUCAGAGUUGCAAAGUUGUUGUUUGAGAAUCUGUCGGAUGUGAAGAAGCCAAAGCCGAUCUAAGAAGGAUAGAUAGAAUGAAGGAGGAGUUGGCUAUUAUAGAGUCCAAGACAAAACUCGUUCUUGAUGGCUCUGUGAACAAACAGGAGGAGAAGGUCUAUGGACUGAAGGAGACUCCUAGAGCAUGCAAUGGUGUUCAGAUUGUGGAAGAAGAAAGCACUGAUGUGUUCGUCUACAAUCAAGCAAAGUGGAUAAAUGAUGCCGGUGCAUUGCAGAAUAGAAGACCAGUUUGCAAGUAUCUUCACCAAGUCCUUUCAGAUUGGAAUGUUUGAGCUGUUAAGGGAGAAGAUUGAAGUGUGCAACAGCAACUGAUCCAAGGAGGAGUGUUGGAGCUACAAUAGUUGAAGUGCAUCAGAGCUGCUGCUAGUCUUGCUAUGUCGUUUUGUUUUUUUAUCAAUCAUGUAGUUAUCUGUUUUCUUAGGUUGCUGUUUUUAAGGAAUCAGUUAGCAUAUUUUUAGGAGUUUGCUUUUUGCACGUUAAGUGCAGUUCUGGUCUUGUUCUGUUCAUGUUUUCUACUGGUGUCUAUUGGUGUUGGUAACUGAAGUUUUUCCAAUUCAUGAAGAAGUAGACAGUUUCUCUUCUCUCUAAAAAA